Molecule: long non-coding RNA, 277 nt
Filed under: Fukomys damarensis (Damara mole-rat)
Lineage: Eukaryota; Metazoa; Chordata; Mammalia; Rodentia; Bathyergidae
Description: lncRNA (ENSFDAG00000023841.1)
Source: RNAcentral
CCAUGAUCAGGGAAAAAUUUGUGCCAUGAUUCACUACCUGCUAUCUCAGGAAUGAUCACAUUUCAUCAUCAUUUCAUUAUAUUUCCAAUCUACCAAAGUCAAGAUUAUGUUGGAUUUAUGCUCGCAUUAAUGGCAUAACAGUUUUACUGCUAAAGAAGUUUGAUUAAAAAAUAAUACAACAAAAGGCACGUUGUGGAAGAGAGGGAAGAAGAAACUUGGAGAGGUUGAGACUGUGACCUCACAUGACUGUCGUUGGGAAUGUAAGAUUGAUUAGAGG